UACGUAGGUGGCAAGCGUUAUCCGGAUUUAUUGGGCGUAAAGGGAACGCAGGCGGUCUUUUAAGUCCGAUGUGAAAGCCUUCGGCUUAACCGGAGUAGUGCAUUGGAAACUGGGAGACUUGAGUGCAGAAGAGGAGAGUGGAACUCCAUGUGUAGCGGUGAAAUGCGUAGAUAUAUGGAAGAACACCAGUGGCGAAAGCGGCUCUCUGGUCUGUAACUGACGCUGAGGUUCGAAAGCGUGGGUAGCAAACAGG
This 253-nucleotide ribosomal RNA is filed under the name uncultured bacterium. RNAcentral describes it as "partial 16S ribosomal RNA". It matches the Rfam family "Bacterial small subunit ribosomal RNA", at positions 524 to 776 of the family's 1533-position model. The record is from RNAcentral.